RNAcentral lists this ribosomal RNA (219 nucleotides) under uncultured bacterium. RNAcentral's name for it is "partial 16S ribosomal RNA". It matches the Rfam family "Bacterial small subunit ribosomal RNA", at positions 524 to 741 of the family's 1533-position model. The record is from RNAcentral.
UACGUAGGGUGCAAGCGUUGUCCGGAAUUAUUGGGCGUAAAGAGCUCGUAGGCGGUUUGUUGCGUCGGCUGUGAAAUCCCGAGGCUCAACCUCGGGUCUGCAGUCGAUACGAGCAAACUAGAGUGUUGCAGGGGAGACUGGGAAUUCCUGGUGUAGCGGUGAAAUGCGCAGAUAUCAGGAGGAACACCGGUGGCGAAGGCGGCUCUCUGGACCUCUGCU